ACGGAGGGUGCAAGCGUUAUUCGGAAUUACUGGGCGUAAAGCGCGUGUAGGCGGUCCCGCAAGUCUGAUGUGAAAGCCCCGGGCUUAACCCGGGAAGUGCAUUGGAAACUGUGGGGCUUGAGUGCUGGAGAGGGUAGUGGAAUUCCCGGUGUAGCGGUGAAAUGCGUAGAGAUCGGGAGGAACACCAGUGGCGAAGGCGACUUACUGGACUGUAACUGACGCUGAGGCGCGAAAGUGUGGGGAGCAAACAG
This 251-nucleotide ribosomal RNA is filed under the name uncultured prokaryote. RNAcentral's name for it is "partial 16S rRNA". It matches the Rfam family "Bacterial small subunit ribosomal RNA", at positions 525 to 775 of the family's 1533-position model. The record is from RNAcentral.